GACGUAGGUGGCGAACGUUAUCCGGAAUCAUUGGGCGUAAAGGGUGCGUAGAUGGCUUAAUAAGUUAUUAGUGGGAAAUCGAGGCUCAACCUCGUGGAAGCUAGUAAUACUGUUUUGCUUGAGUGCAGAAGAGGUUAACGGAACUCCAUGUGGAGCGGUAAAAUGCGUUGAUAUAUGGAAGAACACCGAUAAGGCGAAGGCAGUUAACUAUUCUGCUACUGACAUUGAGGCAUGAAAGCGUGGGGAGCAAAACGG
This 255-nucleotide ribosomal RNA is filed under the name uncultured bacterium. RNAcentral describes it as "partial 16S ribosomal RNA". It matches the Rfam family "Bacterial small subunit ribosomal RNA", at positions 524 to 776 of the family's 1533-position model. The record is from RNAcentral.